This 253-nucleotide ribosomal RNA is filed under the name uncultured bacterium. RNAcentral describes it as "partial 16S ribosomal RNA". It matches the Rfam family "Bacterial small subunit ribosomal RNA", at positions 524 to 776 of the family's 1533-position model. The record is from RNAcentral.
UACAGAGGUGGCUAGCGUUGUUCGGAUUUAUUGGGCGUAAAGGGUCCGUAGGCGGCCUGAAAAGUCGGAUGUGAAAGCCCACAGCUUAACUGUGGAAUGGCAUUCGAAACUUUCAGGCUCGAGUGUGAAAGGGGUAAAGGGAAUUCCCGGUGUAAGGGUGAAAUCUGCAGAGAUCGGGAGGAACACCAGUCGCGAAGGCGCCUUACUGGAUCACUACUGACGCUGAGGGACGAAAGCCAGGGGAGCAAACGGG